GGUGGAGGGAGCGUGGGGCGCUUUUGCCAUAACUGGCGGGCCGCAUGGCAUAUUUGCGCGAACGUUUCGCCAGUUCGUGAUUCCCUCGAACUGGCAUAGCUUUUUCUCUGCAGUUUAUGUACAUAUAUAUAUAUAUGUAUGUCUCACUGUUUGCUCCUGAUGUGUGUGCACAUGUGUGAAUAGAUAUGACACAUUCAUACUAUGUCUGUUUUCAUUAUAGUGGAUUAAAUGAGCUUGAAAGUCGUGUCC
Pelobates cultripes (western spadefoot toad) is the source of this 249-nucleotide non-coding RNA. Lineage: Eukaryota; Metazoa; Chordata; Amphibia; Anura; Pelobatidae. The record is from the annotation of a GenBank genome assembly.